AAACCUCACAAUAGUCAAUUAAGAGAGAGAGAGAGAGAACAACCAUCGACGGUGAAGGCUUAUUUGACGGAACGGCGGUGGUCGGUGGUGAUGUUCUCAGAUGUGACGGCUAGGGUUCUGGUUACCCUAGACGCGGUGACUCAAACUUUAACAAGGUUUUGGGCACAUCAAAGUCGGCUCGAGGGUUUUCCGCUGGUCUCCAUUUGUUUUCAGCAAAGAUUGUCAGAACACGAAUCUUAGAAGUGAACCAAACUCUUUUUAAGAUCGAUCUAUUGUUGCAUGUCAUUAUUUGACUCAGAUACCCCAGUAGUGGAAGUAACGUCGUUCACGUUAAUUGGAGACUUAUUGAAGUAAACUGGUAACCCAAUGCUCCCUGGAAACCUGGUAAGUUUUUGCGGUGAUGGUGGGAUUGAUCGAUGAGAAAAACGGUGAUGGAAGUCGGCGUUUGACGACUUGCAAAGAGGGUAUCACUUUUGGCAGUAGUAAUCAGUUUUCAUGUCAUCUCUUGGGGCGAUAUUCAUUAGCAAUUGGUGGUGUUCGAUGGUUGUUUAGGGCAGUGAUAGGUAAACUCGGUACUAGAGAAAUUGAUUGAAGUGGUUUCUGAACCAUGGCGGUGAUUUUUGUGGGUGGUCGUUUGUUGUUUGGUUUCGGUGCAAAACCAAUUGUGUCCCUGGUAUUGCAGUUGUAACAAAAUCGGUUCUGUGGGGAUGAUUUUCGGUUAAAGUUUCGACAUGUCCUUUGUUGAUCGAUGUCACCUCUUCAUUGCAACCUCUGGUAUGAAGUCAUGGUGAAGUCGGCGUAGAGGUGGGCUCAUACUCCAGCAGCGGCACAUGAAUUCCGGUUAACUCCGGUGAGAACCCAGUGUACAGUUGUUGUGGUUCUACCAUCCAACCACUUGAAUGCGGCAAACGCCGGAGGCGGUUUGAAGUUCUGGUAGCAAUUCAAGACUCCAAUGUGUAGCAAGAUCACCACUUUUACAAUUUCAAGAUUCAUCAGUUUGGCCGCAAAAAAGGGUUUAUAUAAUUGAGGGAGAUCUAGGUAGCUUCUGACUAAAGAUCUCAAAAAUUGGGUAGCAAUAGUGUCGACAAUGGACAUGCAAUGGCUUCUUAUUUAGUGGAAAAUUUAUACUUAUGGUAUCCUAAAGAAGCUUACUUUUGUUAAAAUCUGCAGAUUUUGUUGAUAAAUGGACAGGUACAAUCUGCAAAAUGUAUCUAGACAAACAGAGUGAUCACCGGUUAUGCAUUGACAAAGCGAAGUGAAGACUAUUCUUUGUGGUCUACAUCACACAUAGUUCCAGUGUUCUUCAUUUUUAGGCGGUGGAUUUGGGAUUUAUAUAAUGCAAAGGUGGAAAUGAUGCAUACAAGAAAGGAUAGUGGAAUAAAGAGGUAACAUGUUAUACUGAAGCUAACAAGUUGGAUAAAUCAAUGCUCCUUUCUACUUCAACGGAGCAACUACCAACACAGAAUUAGGAUGGGAGACUAAAGUUGGUAAGUUUCAUUGCCAUCAAAAAGUGCCAAGGAAGAUUUGAAGACACCGGUAGCGAGACGACAUCGAUGGAAGAGAUGGUCAAGGUGGGCCAUAGCAAUAGCAUAGUAAUAACCGACUGAACCCUUAUGAGAUGCUAAGAAAGGUGGCAGAGCAGUUCAAGGGGAGGGCAACUUAUUAUUUAAAAGAAGGGGCUUCACUUAUGACGGUGCUGACACCAUCGACAAAUCCAAAAUAUGUUACUACAUUCUUUCACUUCUAAUAUAUGGUAACAGUAAUCAAGAUUAAGCCUAGCUAAACAAAUUCGGUCAGAUAACAUGUCAAAACGGGUCGUUUUAACUUUUAAGAAGUAUUUAUUUACUUUUGAGUCAAAAUCUUUUCCACAGCUUGGGUUGAGACGUGUUGAUUUAGGGAAAAGGCUAUCAAAAUGGGUUUGUUUGUAUGACGGUGUUGAG
Molecule: long non-coding RNA, 1940 nt
Filed under: Helianthus annuus (common sunflower)
Lineage: Eukaryota; Viridiplantae; Streptophyta; Magnoliopsida; Asterales; Asteraceae
Source: RNAcentral